AUUGAACGCUGGCGGCAUGCCUUACACAUGCAAGUCGAACGCGAAAGGGGGCAACCCUGAGUAGAGUGGCGCACAGGUGAGCAAUACAUCGGAACAUACCCAGUAGUGGGGGACAACCAGUCGAAAGACUGGCUAAUACCGCAUACGACCUACGGGUGAAAGCGGGGGACCGUAAGGCCUCGCGCUAUUGGAUUGGCCGAUGUCUGAUUAGCUAGUUGGUGAGGUAACGGCUAACCAAGGCGACGAUCAGUAGCUGGUCUGAGAGGAUGAUCAGCCACACUGGGACUGAGACACGGCCCAGACUCCUACGGGAGGCAGCAGUGGGGAAUUAUGGACAAUGGGGGCAACCCUGAUCCAGCAAUGCCGCGUGAGUGAAGAAGGCCUUCGGGUUGUAAAGCUCUUUCGGCCGGGACGAAAUCGCUCUGGUGAAUAUCCAGGGUGGAUGACGGUACCGGAAUAAGAAGCACCGGCUAACUACGUGCCAGCAGCCGCCGUAA
This 497-nucleotide ribosomal RNA is filed under the name uncultured bacterium. Its description in RNAcentral is "partial 16S ribosomal RNA". It matches the Rfam family "Bacterial small subunit ribosomal RNA", at positions 29 to 523 of the family's 1533-position model. The record is from RNAcentral.